GCCGGGUGUGGUGGUACACACCUGUAGUCCCAGCUACUUGGGAGGCUGAGGUGGGAGGAUCACUUGAGCCCACGGGGUUGAGGCUGCAGUGAGCCAUGAUUGUGCCACUGCACUCCAGCCUGGGCAACAGAGGGAGACCCCAUCUCAA
This 148-nucleotide non-coding RNA is filed under the name Nomascus leucogenys (northern white-cheeked gibbon). Lineage: Eukaryota; Metazoa; Chordata; Mammalia; Primates; Hylobatidae. The record is from Rfam by way of RNAcentral.